RNAcentral lists this ribosomal RNA (500 nucleotides) under uncultured bacterium. RNAcentral describes it as "partial 16S ribosomal RNA". It matches the Rfam family "Bacterial small subunit ribosomal RNA", at positions 30 to 523 of the family's 1533-position model. The record is from RNAcentral.
AUUGAACGCUGGCGGAAUGCUUUACACAUGCAAGUCGAACGGCAGCACGGACUUCGGUCUGGUGGCGAGUGGCGAACGGGUGAGUAAUGUAUCGGAACGUGCCCAGUCGUGGGGGAUCACGUAGUGAAAAUUACGCUAAUACCGCAUACGAUCUAUGGAUGAAAGCGGGGGAUCGCAAGACCUCGCGCGAUUGGAGCGGCCGAUAUCAGAUUAGGUAGUUGGUGGGGUAAAGGCCCACCAAGCCAACGAUCUGUAGCUGGUCUGAGAGGACGACCAGCCACACUGGAACUGAGACACGGUCCAGACUCCUACGGGAGGCAGCAGUGGGGAAUUUUGGACAAUGGGCGAAAGCCUGAUCCAGCCAUUCCGCGUGCAGGAUGAAGGCCCUCGGGUUGUAAGCUGCUUUUGUACAGAACGAAAAGGUUUCUACUAAUACUAGGAGCUCAUGACGGUACUGUAAGAAUAAGCACCGGCUAACUACGUGCCAGCAGCCGCGGUAA